UUAAGUUAAUAAGGGCGCACGUGGAUGCCUUGGCACUAGGAGCCGACGAAGGACGUGACAAACGACGAUAUGCCUUGGGUAGCUGUAAGUAAAGCGAUGAUCCAGGGAUUUCCGAAUGGGGGAACCCAACAGGUAAUCACCUGUUUACCCACAUCUGUUAAGGAUGUGAGGAAGGAAGACGCAGUGAACUGGAAACAUCUAAGUAGCUGCAGGAAGAGAAAAGCAGAAAGCGAUUGCCUUAGUAAAAGCGGCGAGCGAAACGGCAGGAGGGCAAACCGAAGAGUUUACUCUUCGGGGUUGUAGGACUGCAAUGUGGACUCAAAGAUUAUAGAAGAAUGAUUUGGGAAGAUCAGCCAAAGAGAGUAAUAGCCUCGUAUUUAAAAUAGUCUUUGUACUUAGCAGUAUCCUGAGUACGGCGGGACACGUGAAAUCCCGUCGGAAUCUGGGGAGGACCAUCUCCCAAACCCUAAAUACUCCCUAGUGACCGAUAGUGAACCAGUACCGUGAGGGAAAGGUGAAAAGCACCCCGGAGGGGGAGUGAAAUAGAACCUGAAACCGUGUGCCUACAACAAGUUCGAGCCCGUUAAUGGGUGAGAGCGUGCCUUUUGUAGAAUGAACCGGCGAGUUACGUUAUGAUGCGAGGUUAAGUUGAAGAGACGGAGCCGUAGGGAAACCGAGUCUGAAUAGGGCGCCUUAGUAUCAUGACGUAGACCCGAAACCAUGUGACCUACCCAUGAGCAGGUUGAAGGUGCGGUAAGACGCACUGGAGGACCGAACCAGGGCACGUUGAAAAGUGCUUGGAUGACUUGUGGGUAGCGGAGAAAUUCCAAACGAACUUGGAGAUAGCUGGUUCUCUCCGAAAUAGCUUUAGGGCUAGCGUCGACAUUAGAGAUUCUUGGAGGUAGAGCACUGUUUGGGUGAGGGGUCCAUCCCGGAUUACCAAUCUCAGAUAAACUCCGAAUGCCAAUGAAUUAUGGUCGGCAGUCAGACUGCGAGUGCUAAGAUCCGUAGUCGAAAGGGAAACAGCCCAGACCACCAGCUAAGGUCCCAAAAUAAUUGUUAAGUGGAAAAGGAUGUGGGGUUGCACAGACAACUAGGAUGUUAGCUUAGAAGCAGCUAUUCAUUCAAAGAGUGCGUAAUAGCUCACUAGUCGAGUGACCCUGCGCCGAAAAUGUACCGGGGCUAAAACAAUUUACCGAAGCUGUGGAUACCUUUAUAGGUAUGGUAGGAGAGCGUUCUAUGUGUGAUGAAGGUGUACCGUGAGGAGUGCUGGAACGCAUAGAAGUGAGAAUGCCGGUAUGAGUAGCGAAAGACAGGUGAGAAUCCUGUCCACCGUAAGACUAAGGUUUCCAGGGGAAGGCUCGUCCGCCCUGGGUUAGUCGGGACCUAAGGAGAGACCGAAAGGUGUAUCCGAUGGACAACAGGUUGAUAUUCCUGUACUAGAGUAUGUAGUGAUGGAGGGAC
RNAcentral lists this ribosomal RNA (1464 nucleotides) under Streptococcus pneumoniae B1598. RNAcentral's name for it is "bacterial LSU rRNA". It matches the Rfam family "Bacterial large subunit ribosomal RNA", at positions 3 to 1473 of the family's 2925-position model. Lineage: Bacteria; Bacillati; Bacillota; Bacilli; Lactobacillales; Streptococcaceae. The record is from RNAcentral.